AGAGAGAGACAUGCGCGCAUAUCAAUAAGCGGAGGAAAAGAAACUAACAAGGAUUCCCCUAGUAACGGCGAGUGAAGCGGGAAGAGCUCAAACUUGAAAUCUUCAAGGUUUACCUUGACGAAUUGUAGUUUAUAGAAGUGUUUUCUGUAGUGGAGUUUGGUAAAAGUUCUUUGGAAUAGGACAUCAUAGAGGGUGAGAAUCCCGUAUUUGACCAUUAUUUUCAGCUGUGUGAUAGCACUUUCAAAGAGUCGGAUUGUUUGGGAAUGCAGUCCAAAAUGGGUGGUAAAUUUCAUCUAAAGCUAAAUACUGGCGAGAGACCGAUAGCGAACAAGUACCGUGAGGGAAAGAUGAAAAGAACUUUGAAAAGAGAGUUAAACAGUACGUGAAAUUGUCAAAAGGGAAGCGUUUGACACCAGUGUUGUUUUCUCGAAAAUCAAUUAAAAAAGAUUGGAUUUUGUGUUGUAUUGACUUUAUCAGCUUUCUGCACUCUUUUCUUGUCUUUUUUAAUGCACUUUUCGUUUAACAAGUCAACAUCAAUUUCUUUUGUUGUAAAAGGGUCAUUGGAAGGUGGCUUUCUUUUCGGAGAAAGUGUUUAUAGCCUUUGGCUUCUGCAAUCGGAGAGAUUGAGGUCUGCAGCGUAGAUCCUUCGGGGUUAGAUACAUUUGUGCUAAGUUAUAGCCUUUCAUAGACAACUUGUUGACUAUGAUCAGUCAUGUAGCUUACUCGCUUAUGCUAUUUUACCUACGCUUAGGAUGUUGACAGCAGUAUAGACUGU
Molecule: ribosomal RNA, 775 nt
Filed under: uncultured Neocallimastigales
Lineage: Eukaryota; Fungi; Neocallimastigomycota; Neocallimastigomycetes; Neocallimastigales
Description: partial large subunit ribosomal RNA
Rfam family: Eukaryotic large subunit ribosomal RNA
Source: RNAcentral